This 207-nucleotide long non-coding RNA is filed under the name Linum usitatissimum (flax). RNAcentral describes it as "long non-coding RNA (LUSI_LNC007484)". Lineage: Eukaryota; Viridiplantae; Streptophyta; Magnoliopsida; Malpighiales; Linaceae. The record is from RNAcentral.
GUUCAGAUGGUUUUUUCAAGAGACUCUUGAAAGAUUAUGGGUUAUUGUUUAGUUACUGAUUUGCUUACUGGCUGUUUGGUAAGUUAUUGAUUCGUUGUUCACUGAUAGUUUAGGGUUGUUCACUGAUAGUUUAGGGUUGUUCAUUGAUAGUUUAGUGUUGUUAAGUUAUUGAUUUGUUGUAUCACUGAUUUACUUGGUUAUUGUUAA